AGAGUUUGAUCCUGGCUCAGAAUGAACGCUGGCGGCAUGGCUAAGACAUGCAAGUCGAACGGACUAUUUUGAAGAGUAAUCGGAUUUAUAGUUAGUGGCGAAAGGGUGAGGAAUGGAUAGGUAACGUACCUCGGGCUCCGGAAUAGCUCAUCGAAAGGUGGGGUAAUGCCGGAUAAUGUCAUCUGUUUAAUUCAGGUGACCAAAGAUUUAUCGGCCCAUGAGCGGCCUAUUCCCUAUCAGCUUGUUGGUGAGGUAACGGCUCACCAAGGCGACGACGGGUAGCGGGACUGAGAGGUUGGCCCGCCACAUCGGGACUGAGACACUGCCCGGACCUCCACGGAGGGCUGCAGUAACGAAUAUUGGGCAAUGGGCGAAAGCCUGACCCAGCAAUGCCGCGUGUAGGAUGAAGCCUUUCGGGGUGUAAACUACUUUCAGGGAUUAGAAAGCUACGGUUGAUCAAUCCCAGAGGAAGUCACGGCUAACUUCGUGCCAGCAGCCGCGGUAAGACGAAGGUGGCAAGCGUUAUUCGAAAUCACUGGGCUUAAAGGGUGCGUAGGCGGAACUGUAAGUGUCUUGUGAAAUCCCUCGGCUUAACCGAGGAAUGGCUCGGCAAACUGCAGUUCUUGAGGCUAGUAGGGGUGUGUGGAACUCUUGGUGGAGCGGUGGAAUGCGUAGAUAUCAAGAGGAACGCCGAAGGUGAAGACAGCACACUGGACUUGUACUGACGCUGAGGCACGAAAGCGUGGGGAGCAAACAGGAUUAGAUACCCUGGUAGUCCACGCCGUAAACGAUGUGCACUAGGUCGCGGAGGUUCUGACACCGUCGCGGUCGUAGCAAAAGUGUUAAGUGCACCGCCUGGGGAGUACGGUCGCAAGGCUAAAACUCAAAGGAAUUGACGGGGGCUCACACAAGCGGUGGAGCAUGUGGAUUAAUUCGAACUAACGCGCAGAACCUUACCUGGGUUUGACAUGUAUGGAUGCCUAUCGGGAAACCGAGUCGGCUGCCUUCGGGUGAAACUUACACAGGUGCUGCAUGGCUGUCGUCAGCUCGUGUCGUGAGAUGUCGGGUUAAGUCCUUUAACGAGCGAAACCCUUACCGUUAGUUGCCAGCGCGUCAUGGCGGGGACUCUAGCGGGACUGCCGGUGUUAAACCGGAGGAAGGCGGGGAUGACGUCAAGUCCUCAUGGCCUUUAUGCCCAGGGCUUCACACGUGCUACAAUGGCAGGUACAAAGCGACGCGAUACCGCGAGGUGGAGCAAAUCGCAAAAAACCUGCCCCAGUUCAGAUUGCAGGCUGGCAACUCGCCUGCAUGAAGGUGGAAUCGCUAGUAAUCGCGUAUCAGCGAUGACGCGGUGAAUGUGUUCCUGAGCCUUGUACACACCGCCCGUCAAGUCACGGAAGUUGGGAGUACCCGAAGUCGGAUCAUCAACCUUUUAGGAGAUGUCUGCCGACGGUAAGCUUGAUGACUGGGACUAAAUCGUAACAAGGUA
Molecule: ribosomal RNA, 1489 nt
Filed under: metagenome
Description: bacterial SSU rRNA
Rfam family: Bacterial small subunit ribosomal RNA
Source: RNAcentral